GUAACACCUUAACCCUUAAUUUUAGUAAUUUUAUCUCUAGAAAAUAAGUUUUUCGAAAAUACGCGGCGGAUGUUAAAAACUUUAUUGAUUUAAAACAAGACCAAGGUAUAAGGUAUUACAUUAUUUACCAAAAUAUACUAUUGUAAUAAAAAAUAGUUUUCAUCAUUCUUACAACAAAAGAUAAUCUUAAUACAACCAUUUCAAAUUGAAAGAUAAGAAAUAAAAACUCCACGUGAAAAAUACAUUUGAACCCUUCCCAUGCCUAAUCAGAGCGGAGCUUCCUGACAACUCGGUCAACCACAUAAUCUGAGCAAUCUGGACCCAAACCAGUCAAACACACAAAACAGAGAGUUAGAUUAUAUAAUCCAAAUAAAAUACAUGUGCAAGGAGCAUACUUAACACAUGCCAAUAUACAUAAUCUAACUCACACACACACAUGCAUCGCAUUCAUACUCAAUCAAUAGCAUAAGCAUAGGCAUAUUCAUAAGCUUCACAUUUAGUGUCAUAACCAACUAAAUCACUUAGCAUAUAUAAUCUCCAAGUCUCAUAUGAAAACAUCAAGCAUCUAACUAAUUACCAAUGAUAGGUAUUCAACACAUAUAAUGACAAAUCAAGGAUGUCACAUAACCACUUAUUCACAAAUAUAAUUCACGUACUCCUAAUGCAUACUAAUGCACACAUCAAUGCAAUCGUCCCCUUGGACAUAUCUAUAUGAAAAUGCGGUAUACCAUUCUUCUUUAUUGGAGUAUCUCACCUCCAAUAUUCUUCUUUAUCGAAUAAAUAUAAUUCGAUAUUCUUCUUUAUUGGACAAGUCCAAUAUCCCUAAAAUAUGUUCAUGAAUGCAUGCAUAAUCAUGAACAAAAUCCACAACACAUCAACACCAAUAAGCAUCAAGCUUAAUCAAUUGAGGGGAAUUACUCCACCUCACUUCUUUAUCAAGAUAACCAUAUCUAGAUAUUCUUCUUUAUUAGAAUUACACCAAAUUCCAAUAUCCAAUUCACAAGUUAUCAAACACAUAUUGAAUAACUAUCACAAACACCAUCAUGCAUAGGUACAACGACAACAAUCCAAAGGAAUAUAAGUUAUCUAUCCUAGCAUAUUCAUUUUCAAACAAAUAAAAUAAUUUAUAAAAAUUAUUCCCAGUGUUGGUCGCUUAGCGAAGAGCUAGCGAACGCAACCAGGGAAGAUACCCCUUCUGGCGAGCAGCUGGCGAACACGUUCGCUGAACGAACCAGUCUGUUCGCUAAGCGAACUACACCAGUACAGACCUGUUAUACGAAAUUCACCAAAACUCACCCAAAUCCAUCGCAAACAUGUUCCAGUCAUGAAUACACUAUUAUGAACGAAAACACAACAUAUACCCAUACUCUUAGAACAUCAUUUAUAACAUUUAUCAACACUUCAUACUCAUAAAUUGAUGGAUUUAUCAUAUUCUUCUCAAAAACUCAUAAACACCAAAUUACUACCAAACAUCUACAAAUUCCCAUAGAUUCCACCAAUUUCAUGUUCAUUUAUCAUUAGAAAAGGAAUAGACAUAAUGGGUAUCAACAAUUUCAUCAACUUCAUAAGUUUGAACCCAAAACCCCAAAAUAAAAGAGUGUAGAGAGUUUGGGUAUGGAGAUAUAGACAAUCUCCCCUCUCUAUGAGUCACUCUAGAUUAUAUAACUAACUCUCUUACCUCGUAUUAAUGUUGGAAACUCUAGUCCUCCACUCCUCUUGAAUCCUCAAGCUCCAAUUUACUCUUUGCUCUUGCAUUUCUCUUCUUUUUCUUCAUUUUUCCCCAAUUUCGAACUGUAACUUGCGAGCAUGAUUUCUCCCACCUCAGACCUUAUUUUGACGAUCCCAACGGUCAAAAGUUGCGUUUGUAUGUUGCGAACCUACUCUCAAAAUCUUGUUGAGAUCCAACGGUUAACGAAUCCGCAAUCGAAGUUUUAGUGGAGCUGAUGCA
RNAcentral lists this long non-coding RNA (1948 nucleotides) under Trifolium pratense (red clover). RNAcentral describes it as "long non-coding RNA (TPRA_LNC013327)". The record is from RNAcentral. Lineage: Eukaryota; Viridiplantae; Streptophyta; Magnoliopsida; Fabales; Fabaceae.